This 1715-nucleotide long non-coding RNA is filed under the name Malus domestica (apple). Its description in RNAcentral is "long non-coding RNA (MDOM_LNC000611)". The record is from RNAcentral. Lineage: Eukaryota; Viridiplantae; Streptophyta; Magnoliopsida; Rosales; Rosaceae.
CUUGUUGCUCAAAUUAUGACAUCACUCCCACUGGCCUUGUUGUAACUUAGCAUUCAUUCAAAAUUAACACUUAUAUUUUCUUGAUUUGAAUGCGUGUUGCUCCCACUAACUUGUCUUGGAUCCAUUGAGAAUUAUUGAGAUCCAUUAGCUUAUUGAUGAUGUUCUCAACAAUUUUGAGACCAUCAACAACCCUAGUUAACACAAGUUAUUUAAAUGAAUCACAUACAAAAGAAUUCCUUCUAAAGUAAUUCCUUUUGAAUAUGUGACUUGUUUUAUCAAGUCUAUUCAUUUAAUUAUACGAUGUCAUACACCAUACUAAAAGUUUUAGUCAUACUAAGACCUUUAAUGUAGUCAUAUAAGAAUUAUCUAAUUCCUUAGUGGAAGUAUGGCUCCUACUAAGGAUAUAGAUUCUCAACCAUUCCUUCUAGGUGGUUGAUAUAAUUCUCUAUCAAAACUACAUAGAGCAAUAUCGUUACAUGAGAUGUUGAAUUUGGAUUGUCGGGUUGUUAAACCAUAUGUUGUGACUCAUUUUUGAAACUUAUUCCCUUUUGUUUCAUCAACUUGUCCAUAUGCUUUGUUAUUAGCAUGUUCUCAUAAAAGAGAAUGAUGGACAACUCCCAACAUAUAACCAUUUUAUGCUAGGUUGACGAAACCAACAUUCAAAGACUAUUCUUUAAAUGUUACACAACAUAGAUUUUUAACGUUUGAAGAGCUUGAGUCCUUUUAACAAUUAAAAUUACAAACUCUUAAUAAUAGUCAAGUACUAUUAUUCUUUAGAUAACUAUAAACCAAUCACAUUCAAGUUUAUAUCCAUUUUCACACCUCCCACUAUUUCUCAUGACUUUAAUGAGAAAUCAUUUCAUUCAUUCAAAAUGUAUAAAAUUGGAUUAUAUUGGUAGAAGACAUUGUGUAGUAGCUUUGAAACAUUUCAAGCUUAUUUGUUUCAAUCUUCACUAAGUUUAAUGUCUUGUUAUUUAAGUGACUAAAGUCUUUAAACCUUUUAUAGAUUUAGACACUUCUUUCUUGGUUUAAUUACUAACACCAUUGACAUUUUAAAACAAUUUUAAGAAUGCCCAAUUAAUUGUUCAAAACUACUAAUUGAAUCAAGAGUAAUCUUGAUCAUUGUGUUUCAAGUGAUAACCAUAUAAGAAACGUUUUUCUUAUUACUUAUAUCAUUGUAAAUGUGAUCUUUCCUUUUCUUCAAGAAAGGAUUCUCUAGACUUUUGUCAAUUCAUAUAGAACUCAUAAGUAGACAAAUGGAACCAAAUCUAAAGAUUCAUUGUAUCCUUUUAUGUCUUACAUGUAAGAUCUAUCCAUAAUUGAUAAAUCUAAAGUUUAGUUUAUCACAUUACAAUUAAGUGAUAUAACUCUUGUAUCUCAUCUAGGAUACAACAAGACAAUUUUCAAUUCAUAACACUACUUUAAGGAAAUAGUAUAUUAAAAAGGCAUACUUCACAUUACAUUAAUAUGAUAGUUCAAACAUUCAUAAUGUUUAAUACAAAAGGUAUUAGCUCUAUACAUUUAGAGACUAAUAUAAAUGCCUUUAUACAUUUAGGCACUAAUAAUGGCCUUCCAUCAAAUGAAGCCAUAUAAUUAGUUCUUAACAAAAUAAGAAAGUUUAAAGACAAUCUUUAAAUGCCUAACAAACUUCCUAAGUAGUAAGCAAAAAAACAUGGUGGCCGAACUCUUCUCCACACUUUUCCUUGCUUGUUCCU